Molecule: transfer RNA, 73 nt
Filed under: Camelus ferus (Wild Bactrian camel)
Lineage: Eukaryota; Metazoa; Chordata; Mammalia; Artiodactyla; Camelidae
Rfam family: tRNA
About the family: Transfer RNA (tRNA) molecules are approximately 80 nucleotides in length. Their secondary structure includes four short double-helical elements and three loops (D, anti-codon, and T loops).
Source: Rfam by way of RNAcentral
AGGGGUAUAGCUCAGUGACAAGAGUGUGUGCUUAGCAUGCACGAGGUCCGAGGUUCAAUCCCCAGUACCUCCA